This is a ribosomal RNA of Sinocyclocheilus grahami, 116 nucleotides long. Lineage: Eukaryota; Metazoa; Chordata; Actinopteri; Cypriniformes; Cyprinidae. The record is from Ensembl.
CCUGGCAGCCAUAUCCCCCUGUGGCCCAAGACUGGUCGCCCACUGAAGCUAAGCAGGAUUGAGCCUGGUCAGUACCUGGAUGGGAGACCUCUGGGGAAAACCAGGUGCUGUUGGAA